Molecule: ribosomal RNA, 253 nt
Filed under: uncultured bacterium
Lineage: Bacteria
Description: partial 16S ribosomal RNA
Rfam family: Bacterial small subunit ribosomal RNA
Source: RNAcentral
UACGUAGGUGGCAAGCGUUGUCCGGAAUUAUUGGGCGUAAAGCGCGCGCAGGCGGUUUCUUAAGUCUGAUGUGAAAGCCCACGGCUCAACCGUGGAGGGUCAUUGGAAACUGGGGGACUUGAGUGCAGAAGAGGAAAGUGGAAUUCCAAGUGUAGCGGUGAAAUGCGUAGAGAUUUGGAGGAACACCAGUGGCGAAGGCGACUUUCUGGUCUGUAACUGACACUGAGGCGCGAAAGCGUGGGGAGCGAACGGG